GACGAACGCUGGCGGCGUGCCUAACACAUGCAAGUCGAACGGUAGCACAGAGAGCUUGCUCUCGGGUGACGAGUGGCGGACGGGUGAGUAAUGUCUGGGAAACUGCCCGAUGGAGGGGGAUAACUACUGGAAACGGUAGCUAAUACCGCAUAACGUCGCAAGACCAAAGUGGGGGACCUUCGGGCCUCACACCAUCGGAUGUGCCCAGAUGGGAUUAGCUAGUAGGUGGGGUAAUGGCUCACCUAGGCGACGAUCCCUAGCUGGUCUGAGAGGAUGACCAGCCACACUGGAACUGAGACACGGUCCAGACUCCUACGGGAGGCAGCAGUGGGGAAUAUUGCACAAUGGGCGCAAGCCUGAUGCAGCCAUGCCGCGUGUAUGAAGAAGGCCUUCGGGUUGUAAAGUACUUUCAGCGGGGAGGAAGGCGGUGGAGUUAAUAACUUCACCGAUUGACGUUACCCGCAGAAGAAGCACCGGCUAACUCCGUGCCAGCAGCCGCCGUAA
RNAcentral lists this ribosomal RNA (504 nucleotides) under uncultured bacterium. Its description in RNAcentral is "partial 16S ribosomal RNA". It matches the Rfam family "Bacterial small subunit ribosomal RNA", at positions 28 to 523 of the family's 1533-position model. The record is from RNAcentral.